Molecule: non-coding RNA, 617 nt
Organism: Paramuricea clavata
Lineage: Eukaryota; Metazoa; Cnidaria; Anthozoa; Malacalcyonacea; Plexauridae
Source: the annotation of a GenBank genome assembly
CAGCUCGGAAUUACAGUGGGUUCUGCAUAUAAAGAUUUUCUCUGGAUUCGAUGUUUCACUAUUUAGUAUCGAGUAAAAUCAACAAAUAAUUAUGGGUCAAACGAGGAUGAGAGUAUUUUAAAGUUGAAACAUAGUUGCAGAACACUCAUCAAAGCUUUAAUAAUAUUUUGUUCAUCUGGAACUUGAAAUGUCCUUUGUGUAUUGAUAAGCAAUUCAUGCAUGACUUUCAUCCUGAUUUGACAGAGGCUAUAUAAAUCUAAAAUACCAGUUUAAAAACUUACAUUAUCAAAUGAACCAGUGUUGCCAGUAUGCCUGAUUCCGGAGAUGAUUCUUGAUUGGGCAAAGUUAAACUAGACUGGGCUACUAGCAAGUCAUAUGUCGCAGGAUUUGAGCUAGUAGUGAACUGGAUAUUUCAAUGUUGUGUGCACUUUUUUCAUCGUCGCUGUCACUUUCAACUAGAACCUACAUAUACAAAAAAUAAAUAAUCUUACAUUCGUAUCGUAAACGUGAAGCUAUAAGAACAUAUUUUGAAUAAUUGAUGUCCGCUGUCGUGAUUUGGCCAUCAGCAAACAACAGUCGUCGACACGAAGGUGAAGAAAGUAAAUAACAUUUGCCAG